This 1481-nucleotide ribosomal RNA is filed under the name human gut metagenome. Its description in RNAcentral is "bacterial LSU rRNA". It matches the Rfam family "Bacterial large subunit ribosomal RNA", at positions 923 to 2421 of the family's 2925-position model. The record is from RNAcentral.
GGCCCCAUCUCGGGGUACUGAGCAUAAUCAAACUGCGAAUGUCACGCCAACAUGCUCGGCAGUCAGACAGCGGGUGAUAAGGUCCGUUGUCAAGAGGGAAACAGCCCAGACCAUCAGCUAAGGUCCCAAAAUGUAUGCUAAGUGGAAAAGGAUGUGGAGAUGUACAGACAACUAGGAGGUUGGCUCAGAAGCAGCCAUCCUUUAAAGAGUGCGUAACAGCUCACUAGUCGAAUGACUCUGCGCCGAUAAUUUACCGGGGCUAAGCAUACUACCGAAGCUAUGGAUCCCAAGGGAUGGUAGGGGAGCGUUCCAUGAACGGAGAAGUACGACCGAAAGGACGUGUGGAGAUCAUGGAAGAGAGAAUGCCGGUGUGAGUAGCGGAACGUGGGUGAGAAUCCCACGCACCGAAAACCCAAGGUUUCCAGAGGAAGGUUCGUCCGCUCUGGGUAAGUCGGGACCUAAGGCGAGGCCGAAAGGCGUAGUCGAUGGACAACAGGUAGAGAUUCCUGUACUCAUAUAUAUGUGAAGGAAUGACGGAGAGAGGAAGCUGCAGCCAGCGGCUGGAAGAGCUGGUGCAAGCGAGAUAUCGGGAUGGCAGGCAAAUCCACCAUCCGAAACGAGAAGGCGUGAAGCGUACGGAAAGCUACGGCGAGUACGGAAGGCAGUGGAGGAACUUCCAAGAAAAGUUUCUAACGUUAAGUAUAUAUGGCCCGUACCGAAAAUGGACACACAUGGGUGAGGAGAGAAUCCUAAGGUGAGCGAGAGAACUAUAGCUAAGGAACUCUGCAAAAUGACUCCGUAACUUAGGGAGAAGGAGUGCUCAUAGAGAUAUGAGCCGCAGUGAAACGGCCCAAGCGACUGUUUACCAAAAACACAGCUCUCUGCUAAGCCGCAAGGCGAAGUAUAGGGGGUGACGCCUGCCCGGUGCUGGAAGGUUAAGGGGAGGGGUUAACGCAAGUGAAGCCCUGAACUGAAGCCCCAGUAAACGGCGGCCGUAACUAUAACGGUCCUAAGGUAGCGAAAUUCCUUGUCAGGUAAGUUCUGACCCGCACGAAAGGCGUAACGAUUUGGGCGCUGUCUCAGCUGUAGACUCGGUGAAGUCUUAGUACCUGUGAAGAUGCAGGUUACCCGCGACUAGACGGAAAGACCCCAUGGAGCUUCACUGCAGGUUGAUAUUGGGAUUUGAUGCAGCAUGUACAGGAUAGGUAGGAGGCAAAGAGAUGGAUACGCCAGUAUUCAAGGAGCCGCUGUUGGGAUACUACCCCUGUUGUAUUGGAUUUCUAACCGGACGACGUAGAGCCGUUGACGGGACAGUGUCAGUCGGGCAGUUUGACUGGGGCGGUCGCCUCCCAAAGAGUAACGGAGGCGCCCAAAGAUACCCUCAGCUUGGAUGGAAACCAAGCGCAGAGUGCAAAGGCAAAAGGGUGUUUGACUGCGAGACCCACAAGUCGAGCAGGGACGAAAGUCGGGCUUAGUGAUCC